UGGGGAAUCUUGCACAAUGGAGGCAACCCUGAUGCAGCGACGCCGCGUGAGCGAUGAAGCCCUUCGGGGCGUAAAGCUCUUUCGACCGGAACGAUAAUGACGGUACCGGGAGAAGAAGCUGCGGCUAACUACGUGCCAGCAGCCGCGGUAAUACGUAGGCAGCAAGCGUUGUUCGGAGUUACUGGGCGUAAAGAGUGCGUAGGCGGUUUUCUAAGUUCGGUGUGAAAUCUCCCGGCUUAACUGGGAGGGUGCGCCGAAGACUGGGAAGCUGGAGUGUGGGAAAGGCAGGCGGAAUUCCUGGUGUCGCGGUGAAAUGCGUAGAUAUCAGGAGGAACACCGGCGGUGUAGACGGCUUGCUAGACCAUAACUGACGCUGAGGCACGAAAGCGUGGGUAGCAAACA
RNAcentral lists this ribosomal RNA (402 nucleotides) under uncultured bacterium. RNAcentral's name for it is "bacterial SSU rRNA". It matches the Rfam family "Bacterial small subunit ribosomal RNA", at positions 355 to 774 of the family's 1533-position model. The record is from RNAcentral.